Microplitis mediator is the source of this 1476-nucleotide long non-coding RNA. RefSeq lists it as uncharacterized. Lineage: Eukaryota; Metazoa; Arthropoda; Insecta; Hymenoptera; Braconidae. The transcript is spliced from 3 exons. The record is from RefSeq and is a predicted model, not a curated record.
GUACGCAUCGUUGUCGAAGUGUUCAACUAUUUUUAAAAAUAUUGUUGACUUUUUUUUUGAAUUUUUUUUUUUCCCUUAAUGACGUCAUUAGUCAUUUUUAUCCAAAAUUUUUUUUUUCAACCGGCGUCUACGCAAGUUGAAAAAAUCAAUUUUUUUUUUUAAAUUUUUUCGUCAACCCAAUUAAAUAUACAAGUCAACAGUAUUUUUAUAUAUUAAUUAGUGUUGAUUGUUUAGAUAGAUUAUCAAUGGAUUCCAACGAUGAAAAGUUUUUUUUCUGAUGUCUUGACUGGGAAGGAAGGAUGGAAGCAAAGAACACUGACCAGCCUCAAUGAACUGCUAGCUGUCAUCCUACCAGCUGAUCAACUGGCAUCGUUCGGCAGGGAAAUAAAGUUAUUUCUCUGUUGAGGUUUAGGUACAUAAUUUGGAUUUACUUUUUAGUAGAUCUUAUACGACAUGUCCAAGCUAGAGUCCACUGGAAUCUAUUCUGACAUGACUGGCCUAUGAGGACCAGAAUAAUUUUGAGGACAGUGAUGCUGCUGAGCAUUGACGACAAGGUGGUCCAGAUCCAAGGACACACCGCCGCUCUAAUUUUUUUUUUCUGUUUCAGAUCCAGUCAACAAGAAGGAUGCCCAACUUGAAGGAUGCCCAUGGAUGCCAAGGACCAAGAAGAGGACCAGGACCAGGACCAGGACCAGGACCGGGACUAGGAAGGAGAUAUAAUAUUUAUUAUUUAAUUUAAGCUUAAUUGUAAUUAAUUUUAAACAAUUAUUUUAUUAAGGUGUGUGUGUGUGAUGGAUGAACUGCGAGCGAUGAAUAAUUUAAGAAUUUAGUUUAUAUUUUUAUUUUGUAAGUAUGAUUUUGAGUGGUAUGUUUGUAUAUUGAGUAGGUGUGGCAUGCAUGUAUUUAUUGCAUUUUCUGCAUGAUGCUUGCUUUUUUUUGUUUGAUUUUUUUUUUAUUGCAUGGUUUUGGGUAGUUUGUAUUUAAUUAAUUUUUUUUUCCCUUUCCUUAUCCCUUUAGGUCUUAAUUUUAAGUAUGAAUGAAUUUUGUUUUAUUUAAUUAUAAGUACAUGUUUAUUUUUGUGUGAUCAAACCCGAAUGUUAAUUAUAAGCGUAUAAUGAAUGUGUGUAAUUUUGAGUAUUGUGUGAUCAAACCCGAAUAUUAUUAUUAAGGUUUAAUUGUAAUUAUAAUAAUUUUGUAUGUAUAUUUCUUCAUGUAUUUAUUGUCAUUUAGCUUUUUUGUUGGUCACCAAUCGAGUGACCACUGUGUUGGUCGGGUUUUUUCACUGUUAAAAACCUCCGAUUUAAAACGAUAGAUUCCGGGUCUAUCGGAUUUUUAUCGGAGUAUUUUAUCAGUGUUGAGGUUUCCCAAACGGGCUAUUUUCUUUCUACCAAAAGAAAAUAGCUUAGACCACUACAAUUGUAUUUUUAAAUAAAUACAAUUGUAGGUGAAUGCGCACAGUAUAGGAAGUCGGUCCUC